RNAcentral lists this non-coding RNA (28 nucleotides) under Homo sapiens (human). Lineage: Eukaryota; Metazoa; Chordata; Mammalia; Primates; Hominidae. The record is from RNAcentral.
UCAGAAGGUCAGUCUCCUUACCAUGGAC